Gasterosteus aculeatus aculeatus (three-spined stickleback) is the source of this 2194-nucleotide non-coding RNA. The record is from RefSeq and is a predicted model, not a curated record. Lineage: Eukaryota; Metazoa; Chordata; Actinopteri; Perciformes; Gasterosteidae.
GGCGGGUGACAGAUGUGCAAGAAGGGUUGGGACAUUUCUCUCUGUAGAACAGAAGUGCCCACACUGUUAGUUCUACAGAAAAUGGAAUAGUCAGCCUCUUCUUCAGGUAAGCACUCCUGUUGGGAAAAUCCAACUGUCAGCUGCAGUGUAUGCCACUGGUGCAUCUUUCUUCAAACUGGAGAAGGUUAAUGGAACAUGGAAUAUUAUCAUCUGAAUUUUCUGGAGUGAAAUGAUAUAUAUGUGUUCAUUUGUAUCUACACACAAUCCCAAAAGCAGUACUAAAGAAAAGAGUCCUGUGUCUUUUUUGACCUCAGGUAUUCCGGCAAUGCAGUUGAGGAUGUUUCAGUAUGACACAUUCCGGCACGCCCGGAUGUACAUAGAGCCUGCAAUCGUGCACAGCGCAGGAUGGCAUGUUGGACCAGUUAUGCCAGCGACAGAAAGUAGUCCUAGGUGGUGACUUGAGGGCUGACUCACCAGGGCGACUGUGGGGACGGCAAAGCGGCACAAUGUGGAGAGACGCUACACAAAAAAGCUGGCAAAGAACUCCCAAAAAGCACCCGAAGCCUCGUUUAGAGCUGCACAUCUCCUGAUAAAGAAGAAGGCCUUUUCAGACAGUGAAGUUUUCAAAGAAGCAAUGAUGAUUAUUGCCAACACCGAACUUAAAGACGAGCUGGACCGGGAUCUGGCGCGGUGCAGCUGGUUUAGCGUACAGUGCGACGAGUCCGUGGAAAACAGCAGUACAGCGCAGCUGUCAGUCUUUAUCCGGAUGGUGUUUGAAGAUUUCUCCACUAAAGAAGAACUCCUGGCACUCCUGCCCUUCAAGACAACUACGAGGGGAGUUGACGUUUACAACGCGGUGAAGGAGUUUUUCGUACAGAAAAAGGUACCACUGGAAAAGCUGGUAGCGGUGGCUACAGACGGAGCUCCUGCUAUGAUCGGCCGACAUGCAGGUUUCAUCGCGCACUGUAAAGGUGACCCAGACUUCCCAAAACGUCUGCAUUACCACUGCAUCAUCCACCAGCAGGCGUGUGCAAAAGUGAUCGGCUUGGAGCACGUGAUGACUCCCGUUGCUCCAAAGCAAAAUAUUCAAAGCACCGGAUAUUCAAGGUGCUGUUGGAGAUGUCAGCAGAAUAUGGGGACCUGUUGCUACACACAGAAAUCCGAUGGCUGAGCAAAGGACGAGUUUUGCUUCGGUUUCUGUCACUUUUGGGUGAAAUCAAGGAGUUCAAGCAGUCAAAAGGGGAAGACGUCUCGCUGCUAGAGGACACAGAGUGGACACUUGACCUUGCAUUUCUAACGGACAUCACUGGGAAACUAAACCACUUGAACUGCGAGCUGCAAAGCAAAGGUAAGACUGUUGUUGACAUGAUAAGCGCUUUAAAUGCAUUUAAAGCCAAGAUGAACAUUUUCUCUGUGCAUUUACAGAGAAAAAAAAUGCUGCACUUUUCCUCUGUGCGAUCGGUGCUGAAAGACAAUGCUACUGCAUCUGAGGAAAUGGACAAAGUAGCAGAAAAGUACUGUCAAGUCAUAAACAGACUUGGACAAGAGUUUGAGGAUAGGUUUUGUGACCUUGAUCAGCUUGAGCCAUGUGUCUCAUUCAUCUCCAAUCCUUUCAUGAACAAGGACAUAACUUACAUUGCUGAGCAACUAAGUGCAACGUUCAACUUGGAUGCUGCACAGGUGGAGAUUGAAAUUGUAACAUUGCAAAAUGACUGCACCAAACUUUUGGAGCCUUGUUGACACAGAAAAGUACAGUGGUGUAAGCACAGCAGCUAUGAAGGUUGCCAGCCUGUUUGGUUCAACCUAUCUCUGUGAAUCAGCAUUUUCUGACAUGAACGUCAUCAAGAACAAACACAGAACCCGCCUCACUGAUGCACACCUACAAGACUCACUCAGAGUUGCAGUGUCAAGUUACACACCAGACUACAAUACACUGGUGAACAGCAUUCAAUGCCAGUCUUCCCACUAACAAAGAAACAGAUACCAGAUGUCAGUUGCAAAGCUGAAUCAAAAAUAGGAUACAUUGUGUUCAAUUUAUUAGGGACUUUGUCAUUAGUUCAAAAUGUGAUUAUGUAUUGCACCUUGUUUGAAAAAGUUAUCAAUUAUGUAAUGUUUAAUUAAAAUACAUCUAGUUAAUAAUUUGUUAAAAGGGUUUGUCACUGGCAAGGGAAAUAAAAAGAGAUUUCACAUGAAA